GCAUGCGUGGCGCAGCGGUUAGCGCUUCUGUUUUAGAAUUUUUCAACCCGGGUUCGACCCCCCGGUGGGGUCA
Caenorhabditis brenneri is the source of this 73-nucleotide non-coding RNA. The record is from the annotation of a GenBank genome assembly. Lineage: Eukaryota; Metazoa; Nematoda; Chromadorea; Rhabditida; Rhabditidae.